Rhinichthys klamathensis goyatoka is the source of this 2331-nucleotide RNA transcript. It is a transcript of the gene named zinc finger protein 93-like, with no coding region annotated. The record is from RefSeq and is a predicted model, not a curated record. NCBI's taxonomy places the organism in Eukaryota, Metazoa, Chordata, Actinopteri, Cypriniformes, Leuciscidae. The transcript is spliced from 4 exons.
UAUUUUAAAACAAAGAGGAAGUACUUUAUUGCCCAGUGCAACUUUUCUAGGGAGUUCAGGAUUUUAUGAAUGAUUCUGGCAAGCUGUCAAACACAAACUGAGUUGGAUUUACUGCACGUCUCUUAACUGUGGUCACUAUGGCCCGGUAUGAGCUUUUUCAGAGUCAAACCACUCUGGUUAUGUCAUUACUGACGGACACUGCUAAGCUGGAGAUACGAAAGACUUUUACAUGCAGCUACGAUGAAUCUCAUCUCACCAUCAAAUCAAACGAUACUCAGAUUAAUAUGCUUAAUUCCAUAAUGGAGAGGUUUGCCAAAGAAGCAGUGCAGAAGAUUUGCAGUCUCUUCAGAUACUGUUCAUCUGUUGCACCAGUUCCAGCACAAAUGUGUUUGAAUGGCCGAGAUGACAUAAGGAAGCCUUCAUCUCAGAUGGGUAGUGACCUCAGUGGAACAACAUGUAUCCUAAACCAGGAGUUUCAGGGAGAUGCUAUACCUUUCUCAAUGAGUCCUCUGAAUGAGUUGGCAGCAACGUCUCACCAGCAACCUUCAAGCAUUGAGGUGAAUAAUAAUACUGUGCAGUUUUAAAGAGAAAUUUAUUUUAAGGAAAUAACUUACAGGGUGUUAAAUGUUGAUUUAAACAUUUACAUGUAAUGUGAAUUAUAACAUGAACAGGACGGUAAUGCAAGCCAGUGUCUUAUGGUGGCGGAAAGAGCAGAAGAAGCCAUUCAGACAAUAUUCAUCAGUGACGCUGCUGAUGAUGUGGGCUGGUCUGAAGAUCAGGAAGGCGUGUUGCAGACAUCAACCGUGCAACCUGAAAAGCCACAGGACAAAGAUUCUUUUGUAUGUGAGCAGUGCGGAAAGGUCUUUCCAAAGAUGCUUUCUCUUGUGCAGCACAAACGUGUGCAUUCAAUUGUGAGGCCGCACAAUUGUGAAAAGUGUGGGAAGAAGUUCACACUGCUGAGAGCGCUAGAGACUCACCUUCGCAAACACUUGCAGAAGUUCGAGAAGAAGAAAUUCCCCUGCAGUACGUGCGGAAAGAGCUUCAGGGAUCUCGCAGCGCAUGAACUGGUCCAUGCGGAAGUCAAACCAUUUACCUGUGAAAUAUGCGGACAGGGAUUCACAAUCAAAAGAAGUUUAUACAUGCACCAAAGGGUGCACACGGGCGAAAAACCAUACAGAUGCGACACCUGUGGGAAGUGUUUCUCCCUGAUUGGCACGUUAAACUACCACAAGAGAAUUCAUUCCAGUGACAGGCCGAUAAAGUGCAGCCAUUGCAAUAAGACCUUCAAGUACCAUAAACUUUUGAAACACCACCUUCGUGUGCACACGGGCGAGAGGCCGCACACGUGCGACAUCUGCGGGAAAAGUUUUGCGCUUUCCGGGACUCUGAAACGCCACAUUCUCGUUCACACCGGCGACAAGCCGUACGUCUGCGAGGUGUGCGGCAGAAGAUUCAAUCAGAGAAGCACUCUCAAAGGCCACAUGCGAGUCCAUGGAGAGAAGCGAUUUAUGUGUGAAAUGUGUGGGAAAACAUUCCAGUAUAAUUAUGCCCUAAGGAACCAUAUUCUAACACACAAUCAAAUUGGAAAUCCGGGAGAUAAGAGCAACGCUCAUCGCUGCGACGUGUGUGGGAAGUUCCUGAGCUCCGCCUACGCAUUGAAAACUCACCUGCUGCUGCAUUCGGACAACAGCAAACCGUUUACGUGCACGUUAUGUGACAGGAAGUACAGCAGCGUACAUUCCCUCCGGAUGCACCAGCAGCUUCACACGGGGGAGAAACCUUUCAAGUGCGAGAUCUGCGGUAAGGAUUUUUCUCUGAGGGCUUCAUAUAAAACUCAUAUGUUUCUGCAUUCAGGAGAAAGACCUCACAAAUGCGUAUUGUGUGGGAAGAGAUUCAAGCUGUCAAGCUCUCUGAAGAUGCACAUGCGCACUCAUACCGGUGAAAAACCUCACAAGUGUGAAACAUGUGGGAAGGCGUUUCAUUUAUCGGCCAAUUUGAAAAGACACAGGCUUGUGCACACCGGGGAAAAGCCGUUUACCUGUGAAAUUUGUUUGAAGAGUUUCACACAGCCCAACAAUUUGAAGGCACACAUGCACGUUCACACUGGCAACAAGCCGUACACAUGCACCAAGUGUUGGAAAAGUUUCGCCUAUCAGAGAAAUUUCAAAGAUCACAAAUGCGCUCCACUUUAAAUGAUUUCAGCUUUCUGACCUGAAAUGACUAAAUUGAGUAAUGUCUACCUACAGGUCCCUGGAUUCUAUGUAGGAUUAUAAAUAAUUUUGUGGAAAUUACAAGAAAUGCUUGACUGUAUUUAUUUAUCAAAAAAUAAAA